Long non-coding RNA from Vicia villosa (hairy vetch), 397 nucleotides. RefSeq lists it as uncharacterized. The record is from RefSeq and is a predicted model, not a curated record. The transcript is spliced from 3 exons. Lineage: Eukaryota; Viridiplantae; Streptophyta; Magnoliopsida; Fabales; Fabaceae.
UUUCAGCCUCUAACUGUACUUGUAAUUGGAUUUAAUACAUCCCUUACCGAAGAGAAGAUAAUAGCUAGCCUACACAAUCAUUUCAACUUUUGUGGAGAGAUUACAAGGAUCUCCUUACCAAGAUAUCAUGAUUCUGGGGCUAUUAAGGGGUAUGCUCAUUUGGAUUUCAAGGAUAUUCAUGGUUAUAAGAAGGCACUAAAACUUCAUCAAACAACGAUAGGAGGUUAUUGGGUGUCUGUUGAAACAGCAAAGCCAUAGAAUAGAGGUGAUAAUCAGGAUAUGCUUGCACUAGUGCAAAAAGAAGAAUAUAUUUUUAAAAUUUACACCCAUUAUACUAAAAACGGGUGUAAAUAAGAAAGGCGAUGACAAUUUUGUAAAUAAAGAGUCAUUUAAAGUA